AACCCACGGACUCGAACGUGCACUUCCGGUGAACCUCCCACAGUUUCGUCCUUAUCGAGAGGGAACCGCACCGCUCGGCCCCAAAUCCCGCCCACCUUCUUCCCGGCGGCCGGUCCCAACUCCCGCCUGACCUUCUUUCCCGUCGGCCGGCCCCAACUCCCGCCCAACCUUCUUCCCCGGCGGCAGCCCUCAUCCCACCGCCCGCCUCCUUCCCCGACCGUAGAUCCCCACCUCCCGCACCCGAAAAAACCGAGGCGCCCACCGGUACUGCCCCCACCUCCGCCGGCGCCGCCUCCCGCGAACCUACCAGCCCGGCGGCGACCCUUAUCCCAGCUCGCGCGUCAGCCAUCUCGUUCCCCACAGCUUGCGCGACGCCGAAUCCCCUCCCCUGCAGCUCUUGAUCCACCCAUCACAUCCCCUGCAGCUCGGGCGCCACCACUCCGAUCCCCUGGCACGCGGCCCUCCCCUUCCUUCCAGCUCAGGCGGAGCCCUUCUCCUGCAGACCACGCGCCAGCAGAGUCCGCCGCCCUUCCCUGGAGACCUUGCGCCGACGACGACCAGGAGAUCGUCCGCCCUGUCCCCUGCAUACCACGCGUCGGAAUCGGCGCCGCCCUUGUGCUCCCGGCCGCUGCCGGCUAGGAGUCCCCCCACAGGCGCCACUCCGCCCUGGAGUUCGUCGUCCCUGCCUCGACACGCGCCACGAUCGGUCUCCGUAGAACAUGCUGCGUAGCCACCGGCUCCCACGUUCCCCCGAUGUGAACUGCCUCGAUGGGCUCUGGUGCCCCUGCGACGGUCAAGGUCUUCUACUCCUGCUCUGAUGCCGGCUUGCUCUCUGCUACAAUGGCGUUCUCCAGGUCACUGAGGCUCUCAUCCAGGAUGCCGUGCUCCAGGCUAGAGGUCCACUUGUCUUGAAGGUUGAUGAUUUCUGCUCUGAAAUUCAGUUCCGUUUUUGGCAGUGCUAUGUACGGGGCUACAUCGCACAGUCGGGCGGUCCGCUAACAGAGCCGGCGAAGUUCACCACUGCCACUACGGGGAGCCCAUCAACGGAGCGCAUUACUCCCUCUAACACCAGGUUCGUGCAUUACUCAAGCGAAC
Molecule: non-coding RNA, 1095 nt
Organism: Lolium perenne
Lineage: Eukaryota; Viridiplantae; Streptophyta; Magnoliopsida; Poales; Poaceae
Source: RefSeq, a predicted model, not a curated record